CCUACGGGUGGCUGCAGUGAGGAAUAUUUGUCAAUGGGCGGGAGCCUGAACCAGCCAAGUCGCGUGAGUGAUGACGGCCCUAUGGUUUGUAAACCUCUUUUGCCGCGGAGCCAGGUGCCGCUCGUGUGCGGUUUGUAGUGUACCCGGAGAAAAAGCAUCGGAUAAAUCCGUUCCAUCAGCCCCGGAAAUACGGAGGAUGCGAGCUUUAUCCGAAUUGAUUGGGUUUGAAGGGUACGUAGGGGGACGCUUAAGUCAGCGGUAAAAUUGCGGGGUUCAACCUCGUCGAGCCGUUGAAACUGGGUGGCUUGAGUGGGCGAGAAGGACGCGGAAGGCGUGGUGUAGCGGUGAAAUGCAUAGAUAUCACGCAGAACUCCGAUUGCGAAGGCAGCGUAACGGCGCCCAACUGACGCUGAAGCACGAAGGCGUGGGUAUCGAACAGGAUUAGAUACCCUUGUAGUC
This 459-nucleotide ribosomal RNA is filed under the name uncultured bacterium. RNAcentral describes it as "partial 16S ribosomal RNA". It matches the Rfam family "Bacterial small subunit ribosomal RNA", at positions 338 to 795 of the family's 1533-position model. The record is from RNAcentral.